Molecule: ribosomal RNA, 164 nt
Filed under: uncultured bacterium
Lineage: Bacteria
Description: partial 16S rRNA
Rfam family: Bacterial small subunit ribosomal RNA
Source: RNAcentral
UAGGGAAUCUUCCACAAUGGACGAGAGUCUGAUGGAGCAACGCCGCGUGAGUGAAGAAGGGUUUCGGCUCGUAAAACUCUGUUGUUAAAGAAGAACAUAUCUGAGAGUAACUGUUCAGGUAUUGACGGUAUUUAACCAGAAAGCCGCGGCUAACUACGUGCCAG